This 253-nucleotide ribosomal RNA is filed under the name uncultured bacterium. RNAcentral's name for it is "partial 16S ribosomal RNA". It matches the Rfam family "Bacterial small subunit ribosomal RNA", at positions 524 to 776 of the family's 1533-position model. The record is from RNAcentral.
UACGAAGGGUGCAAGCGUUACUCGGAAUUACUGGGCGUAAAGCGUGCGUAGGCGGUUCGUUAAGUCUGCUGUGAAAGCCCCGGGCUCAACCUGGGAAUGGCAGUGGAUACUGGCGAGCUAGAGUGUGUCAGAGGAUGGUGGAAUUCCCGGUGUAGCAGUGAAAUGCGUAGAGAUCGGGAGGAACAUCAGUUGCGAAGGCGGCUCUCUGGACCAGCACUGACACUGAGGCACGAAAGCGUGGGGAGCAAACAGG